GAUGAACGCUGGCGGCGUGCCUAAUACAAGCAAGUCGAGCGAACGGACGAGAAGCUUGCUUCUCUGAUGUUAGCGGCGGACGGGUGAGUAACACGUGGAUAACCUACCUAUAAGACUGGGAUAACUUCGGGAAACCGGAGCUAAUACCGGAUGAUAUUUUGAACCGCAUGGUUCAAAAGUGAAAGACGGUCUUGCUGUCACUUAUAGAUGGAUCCGCGCUGCAUUAGCUAGUUGGUAAGGUAACGGCUUACCAAGGCAACGAUGCAUAGCCGACCUGAGAGGGUGAUCGGCCACACUGGAACUGAGACACGGUCCAGACUCCUACGGGAGGCAGCAGUAGGGAAUCUUCCGCAAAGGGCGAAAGCCUGACGGAGCAACGCCGCGUGAGUGAUGAAGGUCUUCGGAUCGUAAAACUCUGUUAUUAGGGAAGAACAUAUGUGUAAGUAACUGUGCACAUCUUGACGGUACCUAAUCAGAAAGCCACGGCUAACUACGUG
This 497-nucleotide ribosomal RNA is filed under the name uncultured bacterium. RNAcentral's name for it is "partial 16S ribosomal RNA". It matches the Rfam family "Bacterial small subunit ribosomal RNA", at positions 28 to 507 of the family's 1533-position model. The record is from RNAcentral.